GGACCGUUAGGGUAGUCUGGAUAUCCUUCCGGCCUUCGGAGCCGGGGGACGUGGGUUCGAAUCCUGCACGGUCCGCCA
RNAcentral lists this transfer RNA (78 nucleotides) under Methanobacteriota archaeon. RNAcentral describes it as "Euryarchaeota archaeon (seawater metagenome) tRNA-Arg". It matches the Rfam family "tRNA". From Rfam's summary of the family: Transfer RNA (tRNA) molecules are approximately 80 nucleotides in length. Their secondary structure includes four short double-helical elements and three loops (D, anti-codon, and T loops). Lineage: Archaea; Methanobacteriati; Methanobacteriota. The record is from RNAcentral.